RNAcentral lists this small RNA (147 nucleotides) under Drosophila guanche. The record is from RNAcentral. Lineage: Eukaryota; Metazoa; Arthropoda; Insecta; Diptera; Drosophilidae.
GGGAGAGAAAGAGAGAGAACGGAAGAGUGAGAGCUCGAAAAAAGAAGAAAUAUUAAUGAACUCGUAACUGUCGCUUUUGCAAAUUGGUCUACAAGUGUGUGUGUGUGUGUGUGUGUGUGGAUGUGUGUGGAUGUGCACUCACUCCCA